UACGGAGGAUGCGAGCGUUAUCCGGAUUUAUUGGGUUUAAAGGGUGCGUAGGCGGACGCUUAAGUCAGCGGUAAAAUUGCGGGGCUCAACCUCGUCGAGCCGUUGAAACUGGGUGCCUUGAGUGGGCGAGGAGUACGCGGAAUGCGUGGUGUAGCGGUGAAAUGCAUAGAUAUCACGCAGAACUCCGAUUGCGAAGGCAGCGUACCGGCGCCCAACUGACGCUGAAGCACGAAGGCGUGGGUAUCGAACAGG
Molecule: ribosomal RNA, 252 nt
Filed under: uncultured bacterium
Lineage: Bacteria
Description: partial 16S ribosomal RNA
Rfam family: Bacterial small subunit ribosomal RNA
Source: RNAcentral